RNAcentral lists this ribosomal RNA (492 nucleotides) under uncultured bacterium. RNAcentral's name for it is "partial 16S ribosomal RNA". It matches the Rfam family "Bacterial small subunit ribosomal RNA", at positions 29 to 507 of the family's 1533-position model. The record is from RNAcentral.
AGUGAACGCUGGCGGUAGGCCCAACACAUGCAAGUCGAACGGCAGCACAGUAAGCGCUUGCUCUUACGGGUGGCGAGUGGCGGACGGGUGAGGAAUACAUCGGCAUCUACUUUUUCGUGGGGGAUAACGUAGGGAAACUUACGCUAAUACCGCAUACGACCUACGGGUGAAAGCAGGGGAUCUUCGGACCUUGCGCGAUUGAAUGAGCCGAUGUCGGAUUAGCUAGUUGGCGGGGUAAAGGCCCACCAAGGCGACGAUCCGUAGCUGGUCUGAGAGGAUGAUCAGCCACACUGGAACUGAGACACGGUCCAGACUCCUACGGGAGGCAGCAGUGGGGAAUAUUGGACAAUGGGCGCAAGCCUGAUCCAGCCAUACCGCGUGGGUGAAGAAGGCCUUCGGGUUGUAAAGCCCUGUUGUUGGGAAAGAAAAGCAGCAGGUUAAUACCCCGCUGUUCUGACGGUACCCAAAGAAUAAGCACCGGCUAACUUCGUG